This 997-nucleotide long non-coding RNA is filed under the name Homo sapiens (human). RNAcentral describes it as "HSALNT0116363". The record is from RNAcentral. Lineage: Eukaryota; Metazoa; Chordata; Mammalia; Primates; Hominidae.
GUGAUUUCAAGUGGGUUAGGCUUUCUCGAAACUCUGGCUGUACAUCAGCCUUUCCUGGGGGAAUUUAAACCAAGCCCAAUGUCCAGGCCCCUCACCAGGCCUGUGGAAUGAGAGGUCCUGGUAGUGGGACCAGGUAUGGUCGUCUUAGAAGUUUUGCAGCCGGCUCCGAUGCACACCCGGCGCUGAGAAGCUGAGAGCCGCUGCUGCAGGCCUGUGCCCAGGCUGGGUCACGCUACGGAGGAGAAGAUUUUGGAAAGAAGUAGAAGUCCUCACGGGCAACUCCCUGCCAUCCACACCAACCUCCCCUUCUUGUUCUCUCCUUCUCAUCUUAAACUUUCGAGAGGAAGAAGGGUUGGUCAAGGGUGAACGUUCCUGGGCAUGAAGCCUGGAUUCUUUACAUCAGCAACAGACUGGAUGGAGGCAGGAGGCAGUGCGGACCAGAGAGAGGAGUUGUUGCCCGCAGGGUGCCCUUUGAAGACUGCCUUUGCCACCAUCUGCAGCGCGUGGGGCAAGAUAUUAGAAUGGCAUCAGUGUUUGCUUUCACUAAGAGGAAGCGGAGUCCUGGGAGAAAGAGCCGCAGCCUGUGAUUGCACAGCCUUCCCUUGAUGGUACCUUUACCCUGGCAUGUGAGCUAUCAGCCGACUGGGGAUGCUUUCAAAUGAGACAGGAAACAGUUUAGGUGACAAUGAGAAACUCUGGUCUCAGUGGGAUGGAAAUAGAGCCUGGAAGAAAUGGGAAACUUUAAUAUCUGGAUGGAUUCCUUAAACAGCAUCCCCCUGAAGUAAAAGCUUGAAAAAUAAAGUCCACCUGGGUGGUGACUGUCAAGACAGGCCCUGCCCCGUGGGCACUGGCUGAGGAAUUUGGUGUAUUCCACACAUGCCGGAGUUUCCAAGGAGGAAACGUGUUUGAAGUCCAAAGAACAAGGACGGCCUCUGCUUGCUAAUCAGGUGGUAAGACUGUAAUUCCAGAGAGGGUCCUGCCACAUACCCAGAAGGAA